AAACUCAUCUGAAAUAUCUUUGUAUGCUAUUGAAGAAAGAAAUCAUUGUUCGUGGAGAGUUCUUAUUCUUGAUUUAAUUAUGAGAAAGCUUCUUGCACCUCCUUCUUGCAGUUACUUGCAGUGCCUGGGCUCUUAUUCCCCAACCCCUGCAAAGACAGACAACUAUCUGUGUAAUGAGGUGAAGACUAGAAGAGAUUUGGCCUUUAUUGUGUUUUGAAAGCAGAUUCCCCAGGACUGAGUCCCCAGCAAGAAUCAGCUAAAAGCUCUGGAAACAGAAGGGGAGCUGAAGAAACCUGCCUUCCCUAGUCCUUUUGAUAUCUCUAUGGGCAACCAAAACUGUGAACAUGCUUCAAAAACAGCUUCAGCCUGGCCCAGCCUUGGCUGUUGCAGUCAUUUGAGUACUGAACCAGUGGAUGACAUCACUCAAUAUAAAAGUUAUUUCAUGUAAGUUUUUAAAAUACCAGCUAAAUGUGAUCUUCAACUUAUAACAAUCUAUUUGCCAUGUUUUCCGGGACAUUAUAUACACUGUGGAAAUUAUUAUUUUUAAUAAAUUAAAUG
Molecule: long non-coding RNA, 558 nt
Organism: Ochotona princeps (American pika)
Lineage: Eukaryota; Metazoa; Chordata; Mammalia; Lagomorpha; Ochotonidae
Exons: 4
Source: RefSeq, a predicted model, not a curated record